CGGAGGGGCGGCGCGCGGUCCCCGCCGGCGCGCAGACCACCGGAGGAGGCGCCCCGGCCGCCGGCCCGGCCCGGCAGCCGCUCUCCGCGCUCGGGCCGCCGCGGCCUCCUGGGAACCCCCCCCCCCCCCCCGCCCCGAGGGCGCACGCGAGUCCACACGUGCAGGGGAGCGGCUCGAGGGAGCCCCGGCGUCCCCCGCGUGUCGCCGGGCCGGGGAGGAAGCCCAGAGCCCCGGCCCCACUCGCCUGGGAUUCCCCGGGCCCCUCGCUUCCCGCGCCGGGUAGGGUGUCGCUCGCGUCCCGUCCGAGGAGAGGGCAGCGCGCGGGCUGGAGGCGGCGGCCCGCCCCGGGCCCCGGCACGGCCCACCAGGAAGCCGGCAGCUGCGCCCCGCGCCGCUGCCCACCCCGAUUUGAAUACCCCGGCGAGGGCGGGCCGCGUUCCCAGAGCUGGGUGCGCCCGCGGCGCCCUGGCGAGCGACCCCAGGGGAGGCAAUGGGGGCCUUUCGAGCGCCUGAAAAGUUCGUGCUUCCGCAGGGGCACGGAAAGUGCUAGUAAAACGCUUGGCACAGCUUGAGAAGCGCAGCCAGGAGCUACAGUCUGAUUUUGUUUCUGUUGACCGAUAACAUAACCGUGAGUAGAGCCGAGGGCGAGAGCGAGGAAAGGGAUCAGAGGUCCACGGACAAAAUCAUGACCAUCCUAAAUAUUCAGUAAUUCCGUUUGUCAUCAACACAGGGAACGGUUAUACGGGAAAUGGGGAAGAUGGGGGGCGGGGAGGAGAUUUCACAUCCCUGAAGGAAGUUCUCGGGCUCCUAGAGACGCCCAAGUCUUUUUUUUUUUGCAUGACGAGUAGAGACCGGCUCUCGGGGGAGUUCCCCGAUCCGAGGGAGCGUGACCGCGGCCGCGAUCUUCCCGCCCGGAGCGGCCGCGGCGGGGCCCGGCCCUGCCCUCCCGGCCGCCUCCCUCCCCGGCCGCCCGGCGCGCCGCACAUCCCUCUCGCGCUCGCCGGCUCCAGACUGGUUUUUCUGGUUCAGCCUCCCUCCUAGGGACGCGCUGGGGGAUCCGAUGACGUCGCUGGCUGAGUCUCUCCCUCUUCCUCCCUCCCUCCCCCCGCCUCUCCCCGCGCCCGCCCUCGCCGCGCACUCCUCCUAGUAACUUCUGUUCGGGGAGGCGCUGCCAGGAAUAACCCGGUGCGUCCACAGCCCGGGAGGGGAGGCGGCCGCUGCGGCUCCCGCACGCACACUGCUGCGGCCCGGGCCUCGCGGCUCCCUCGCGAGCCCGGCGGCCCCUGCCCCGGGCCCAUCGCCGUACAGUGUCAGAAAAAUAAAUAGAGGAAAGAGGAGCCUGGGCAGGCGGUCGGGAUCUCUUCCCUCCCUCCGCGCCCGCCCUCCCUCUGUCCUUAAGGAAAUGCUACCAGACACCCCCCACCAGACACGCUCAGCCUUGGCGAGGAGCGGCCGCCGCGGCAGCGAGAACAAGGGCACCAGGGGGGUUUCCUCCCCCUCCUCCUCUCCCCACUCUUCCUCCUCCUCCUCCUCCUCCUUCUCAGCGGUGACUUUCCAGGUGGAGUCUUUGAAUUUUUUAAAAGACAAUGAUAAUCAGAUCUACUUGAAAAAUUAAGCAAAUUGAUUUGGUUGGAACACUCUUUAACCAAUACUUUAACAUUCAGCCUCUGGGUAAGUUGAGUCAAGUGUUUCCUAUAUGGCUUGAUUUCAAAAUUAUUGGAAAAAUCUCUCAAGCAAAAUACUUAGCUUUAUGUGAUAUUUUGACAGUAAUGAUUUGAGGUCCUCAAAACCUGUGAAAGAUGUCUGGGAUGCUAUCUAAAUGAAAAUGUUCAUAAGUCUUACCACUUUUAUGGGACUAUCCUGAUGAGGAAGAUGAGAUUAGAAAAUGUAAUCACUUAUAGUUUGAAACCAGAUCCUUUAAUUUACUAUUUUAAUGAUUAUUUGCUUAUUGUAAUCUUGAGAUAAUGUGAGAAUAUCCAAUUAUACUUUUAGUGAGAUAUUUGCGUGUAGCUGUACUGUAUUGUAUCAGAUGCAAAUCUAAGGUAUAAUGACCAUUUUCAGUAAAUUAGUAACUCCUUAUUUUAGACCGUUCUCUUUUUACAGAAAGCUGAGUUUCCGUGGUAAGAAUAGAAAUCUUAAGGACUUGUUCAAUUCAACUUCCUUGUUGCACUGUGUUGCUGCAGAAAGCUCUUGAGGUAGAGAACACUUACCCAGGAGGAGUUUAGGCUUGUAGCAAAUUGUUGGUGCUGCCAAGACAGAAUUUAGUGGGAACAGGACUUUGGCUACUGUUAAAAUGUCACUGUAGUAAACCUGCUCAGUCAAACAGAUUUUUGGCAUCAGAAGUCUAAAUGAUACUGACUUUAGGGUUUGGUAAUUUGUUUUUAAUCCAGGCAAACUCAUGCUUUAAUUAACUCUUUACACAGUAACAGAAAAAUUGGGAAAAAUUUUACAUUCCUAGUCUAUUCGACAAGACUUGAGUUUCUGAUAUCCUAAAUGUUAUUCAUGAUUCUAACUUGUGCAACUUGUUACUUAAUUAUUCUCUGAAUAAACUGGAGCUAUUUUAAAACCUGGUGAGUGAUAACGAAUGAGAGAAGCAAGUGUCUAAUCAUUUGGGAAGCCGACUUCGAAACCAAGUGUCUGCUUUACCUGUGGGCAUCUUAAGACGUGAUGUGGUGAGGUGGUUUUCAGGGAUACUGUUGCAUAGCUUAUUCACUGCCAACAGCUGCCUUAGCGUGUCUAGAGUAAUUUCCCUUGAGGCCACUGCCCUGCGACUUGAUUUGUUAGUGUAGCUUUUGAGCACCCAGUGAAUGUAGAAAUAGCAAGUGUGGAAAGCCCGGGAAUCUUUUCAUUCUGCCUGGAGGGUUCGUGACCCAAGAUUUAUUUGUGACCAAUAAUUUCCAUUGUUAUGGGCACAUGGUGCCAUUUGGAAAAAUCUUUGGAUAAUUAAAGGGAUAUAAGGCAGUUAGAUGAAAAACCCAUCAGGAAGAGAAAUGUUAAAAAAAAGUUUCAAAAGCAAAGCCUUAAUUUCUUCAAUAGCUAUAAUCGCCGUUAGAAGAUGAAAAUUAAUACUCUGAACCACUAACUUAAAUGUGUUUGUCUGCCACAUUUAAUUUUCCGUCUACUCACAAGGUUGGCUUUUACAGUUAUUCCCAAAGUGCCCCACAGUGUUACAGUUACAUUUGGGUUGAUGGGACUCAAUUUAAAUUAUGUUUGGGAGACUAUUCCGUCAGCGCCUCCUGAGAAUGGACAUGGUGUGGACACUGAGUGCAUCUGGCGUUCUCCUUGCUUCUCGCACAGUGUGAGUUGUGGGCGCCUUUGGUUAAGGCAGCUCAUUGGGUCACUGUGUUUUAAAAUAAUAAAUUUUUUUAGUGUAAUAAGGAUGUUACUUAAUUCAUAAGAUUAUGUGAAGAUUAAACUCCUGGCAGGUAGUAGGGGCUGGUACCUACCAGUGAUCUAUGGUGAUUACUAGUGGUAAUAGUCGGUGUAAUCAUUGUUUAAACUUAACAGUAUUAUAUUUUAUUAGUCACGUGACUAAUUCUUUAGCCUGUCAUUGUGGGCAUAACUCAUAGAGACGAGUGCAUUUUCUCGAUUAAACCAAACACUUAUUUUGGUAAAGAAACACUUCAUAUGAAAUUGGUAAGUUUUCGUGAGGUCUAUGCCACAUAAAUCAACAACCUCUCCAUGACUUUCUCUCUCAACCUGGCCAUAUGCAGUAGGCCAAGCAAGAAUAUUUUUUUCAAAUAUUAAAUUUUUUAAAUUUGCCCAAUUUUCCCCACCCCAAAUUGGUAGUAAAUAGAAAACAGUUUGCAAAAUAAGAAAGCAAAACCCUCACCAUUAAGAACUAUAUCCAUUUUUUUGGUACUUUUUGUAAAAGACAAUAAAUAUAAAUUAUUUUAUCUUUAUAAUAAUGUUGCUUUUGAUGUAGUACCAUUUUCCUUCAAGUAGUCAAUGGUUUUGUCAGGUCUUGACAUCAUUCGUUUUAUGGCAAUAUUAGCUGGACUAGGCAUCUUUAGCCAUGUCCUCAGAUUUCUAUUCUCAAUGCAUUGGCUGUAAUUAUUUAAGAAUUAUGUAAGUGACAUUUCUUUUUUUAAGCUGAGGAAAGAUAAGAAGGAAGGUGAAAAUUGUUAACAUUCAUUGGGCAUAUUCUGUUAGUCAGGUUCUGUGCUGUUGGUGAUUAAUCUUUUUAAAGUAAGAAUUAAGAAUCUAGAUUCAUAUGAGGAAAUUGGGUUUCAGAGCAGUAAUUAAUUUGCUGAGAAUUAUAUAGUUAUGAUAGUAAUUUUUGGAGUCAGAAGUUAUUGAAUUCUUACUUUAAAUUUAGGAAACACAAAAUAUGUAAUUCUAUGUUCUGUGCAAAUUGCUGCAUUUGGUGAUUUCCCCAGAUUCGUUGUUCAUCCAUCCCUCUGCUGCUUUCUCUUCUGAUAUGCCUUUAUAUGUUUUUGGAGUGUUUUUUUGGGUCAUUACUUAUACCAAUAUGGAAAAUAAAAGUGAGGAAAACUUUUAAUCUAUUCUAUUUGGACAUAUUUUUGUGGGUCUUAUAAAGAUUUGAUAAGGUUGCAAAUUAGAUCUACUCUCCGGUCUCUAUGACCGGGUAUAACUUUUCCUGCUGUGCAGAGUGGACCUAUGAGCUUCAAUGUAUCGCAGCCUUCAGAAUGUUUCCUUUUGCAUGGGGUUAUUUUUCUAGCUUUUCUGAUACAUCCAGUUCUUCUGUUUGGGUGCCUCGUAUUUUAAGGCAACUGAAGAGGGUAUCAGAAUUUAUGACUGAGGAUUUCUGAGCUGACGUGAAACCUCUGGACUCCGACUCCUUCCAGGGACGGCUGUUUCCUUUGCUCUUAGAGCCUGUGGAAGGGAGCCCUUUACUGUGAACUUCUUGGGCUCCCUGCUUUCAUUUUUCCAAAAGUCUUUUCUUACCCUCUUCUACACAGCUUGAUGCUUCCUACUUUGUUCUUCAAGCACCUCACUCGGUUAUACCUUCCUUCAUUCAUGUAUUCAAUACCUUUACCCCUUCAUUUAUUCAGCAUCAAUCCAUGAACAUUAAUUAAACCAGCAGUAUGAGCAAUGCAUGUUUUGUUUCUUGAGCAUUCUGUAGCCAUCUGAAAACUGACUGAGGCUUGCUUUUAUAUCAUUUCAUAGUAUUCCCUUCUGUCUGUCUUCCUGUCUCCUUACUUUAGCUUGUGGUAUAGGAUGUCUGUGUAGGAGAUCCUCUCAUCUUUUACUCUCCAUACAAACCCUACACAAUGGAACUUGGUAAUCAUACACCUUGUUACUAUGAAGAUGUGAAUUACCAUUUGCGUAAUGCUUUACAGUUUGCAAAUGGCUUCCAUGUUACAGUAUCUCAUUUAAGGCAAUGACUGUUAUGUAGAUAUUACUCACAUUUUAUUAUGUGUAACAGGAAGCAGAAGCUCAGGGGUUUUCAACUGAGUGAUUUGCUUAAAUUUAUAGCACCAGUUAGUCAUGAGCAAGAAUUCAACCCUGCCUCUCCCAACGUCUCACAGCAUGUCAUUCACCAGCAGGUCAUCGGUUUAGUUACCGACAGUGUUCAAAUAUCCCAGCUUUGUUGAGGCAGUCACUGUAUUCUGUUUCAUAUGAUUCAUACAUGAAACAGAAGCCAUACUGGAGUUUGAGGGCAGAAUCAGAUCUCAUAAUUUUAGGGAAUCUUGGAGGCAUCUUUACCUUCCUUGAUGAUACAAACUGUCAAGUUCACCCCAUCACUCCUCCUGCUCUGAGAGUCACUUAAACUCCAAGCAACAUCCUUAUGGAUCAAGAAUGGCCUUUGGAGUUCUGAUUUCCUUGGCAAUUAUAGUUUUCACUAUAAAUUACUAAAUUGGAUAUUGGACAAAGCCACCCAGUUGGAGAUCUUUAUUUUUGAAUCUGCUGUCACAUUGACUUCUCAUCCAUGAAUUGCCAAAAGACUAACUUUGCAUUUUCUACCUCAUCUACUAUUUGGGUUAUUGGUUAAUGUGCUUUCCUGAUAUCAGAGUCUGGUUAAUUCCUUUAUUUUAGUAUUACUUAUCUUCAUGUUUCAUCUCAUUUUCUCUCUGAAUCCCCUUAACACUUAUACUUCUCUCUUUUCACUCUUUGUAUGUAUUUUUGUGCUUGCUUUUUGUGUUAAAGUAGUUCUGUGAGAUUUUUAUCUCAUGCACCACCCUGUAAGUGGCCUGAGGGCAAAGAGUCUGACUUUAUUUUGUUGGUGUCCUCUUCGACCUUGAAUAUGGUGAUUGAAAAUAUAGUAGAUAUUCAAUAAAUAUUUGUUGAAUUUAAUAAAAAUAUUUGGUUAUGAGUUUUCUUUUAAUAAUCAUUUUGGGGACUGCACCUUGAUACCUGAGCACAGAUUGAUUUUAAUCAUAUUAGUGAGAUGAAUCAGCAAGUCUGAUACUUAUUAAACAUCCAGAGCAGGUUCAUAAGAACAAAUGUAUGUGUUUUUUAGUGUUCUUUUUGAAUGCAAAAAAUUCUUCUUAAAGUAAAAUAAUGACAGUCCCCUUCCCUGCUCAACAAAACAAAACAAAAACCCCUCCAUUCCCCUGACAAGGACACUUUAUUGUCCUUAUCUUGACCGUGGGAACAAAAACAAUUGGCCUCUGAAGAGAUUUAAUAAGAUAAAAUAAAACGUGGCCUUGGAUUGUUAUGGCUUCCUGGGAGAUACAGGUGUGGAUGUGACAUGCCUGUGGAGCACAAUUGUCUGACUUUGGGACUAAGGGUGUACAUUUAAUUUGGCCUGUGGUGGUGGGAAGCCCCUGAAAAUUUUUGAGCACUAGAGAUGCAAUGUGAGCUGCACUUUAGGAAGCUGAAUCUGGCUGGGCUGUGCUGGAUGGCAUGGGGGUAGAGGUGAAGGUUCCGUGAGUGGGCGUAAGAGUCCCUGAAAGCACAGAAGCCAUUUAGGAGGGAGUUGCCUUAAUUCGCACGAGAGCUGUCACCUCCUGUCGUGCCCUUUGCCUCUCCUCCCACGCUUCAUCACAGACGAGAGCACUGUUGAGAAAACUUUAGUGAACACUUGAAUCCCAGGUUCAGAGCAUUCUCUGCGACUUACCUUCCUCCAGUCUCUUCCUCAGUUCCUCACUCCUCAGGUUUUGCAUCUUGGCGCCCUUGUGGCUACUUUCAGCUCCAAGUGUUUUCCUUAAGGCUUUCCUGAUACUUGCACAGGUUAGUCCCUCUGAUGAUUGUCCCUGGGUUCCAUAUACACAAGGGCGUCAUGCCUAGACCUGUCCCUUAGAGAUUUGCCAGUCAGGCCCAGAGUACCUUCUGAGCUCCCGACUUUGUGUGUUGUCGGGGGCCUGAGUUGGAGUGGUGGCAGUAAGGAUUGACAGGACACAGAUAGAAGGAGGGAGAGUGUGCAGGAAGCCAGUGUAGGACUGCCUGAUUGGGGAUAGGAGGCGUUUGUGUGUGUAUGUGUGGUUGUGUGUGCACUUCUGGGGGUGGGGAACAGGAGGAAGCUGUCAAUGAUGACACAGGCUUUGAGCUUGGGAGUUUGAAUGUAACUUUUAAUAGAAAAAAGGAAGUAAAGAGAGAAGCUGGUUUGGGUAGUAGGAUGAUGAAUUUGAUUGUAUACCAGUUGAGUUUGAGAUAAAAGUAGAUAAACAGCAUACACUUGACUUUUCUUUUUCAUGAGGGUUUAUAGUUGGAAAUACGAAUUCACGGGAAGCCUUGAGCCUUCUUCCUCUUUUUUUGCUGUUCUUCCAGCUCCUUAAAUAUUUCCCAAGAGCUUAGGAUGGUUUUAGGUUUUCUCGACUUUACCCCUGCCAACCUCCCCCCAAAUGCACCUCCUCAGGAACUUGUAUACUUGUCAGAGUACUCACAGCAGCCAGAAGUGUGCCUUUCAGCCUCCUAAAAUAAGACUUAGGGGAAAAAUAGCUAUCUUUUCCUUUUGAGGAACAUGAUCAUUGUCAUCUCACGACUUGCUGAAAUAGCACAGGGAAGGAACAUUUUUUGGCAGGCUGCAAAAUCUAGGGAAUGCGCGAACACAUGCACUUCUCCUUUGCUAUGAUGUAUUCAAUGGAGGCAGUCUAGUUCAGGAAAGCAGGGGGAUUUUCACUUGAGCACUAAAAUGGAAAAAAAAUGUAUCAGCCAUUUGAAUCUAAAGUUGUUCUCUCAAUUGCUGAUAUUUCUCACAACAGAAUCCUUAGGUUCUUAAAUUUGAUGGUAGCAAUCAGUUGGCUGGUUCCAGUGUAAUCCACCCCAUUCCCAUCCACUGAGGAGUUUUUGAAUUUCAGAAGAGAUACUCUUGAUUAAAUCAGUGUAAGAGCAUAUAAUGAUCCUGUAAUUAUCAUUUGCCAUUACCGUGUGUGCUAAUGAUUAAAGCAAACAUUUAAUAACUAUAGGGCAGUAAAUAUAUUUUAGAUCUUGAGCCAUAAAAAGAUUUCCAUUAACAGAAUGUUUUGUGCACAAAUAAAUUAUUCAUUGACUGUAGCAGAGCUUGAUUCUGUCAUCAGUCUUCAGUGGAAAUUUUGAGAACACCAAUCAUCGCAGAUGCCAACACUAAGUUGGCUUGAGCCCUCAUCGUUCUUACAUGGAACCUGAGCUUUUUUGGCUAUUUGUAAAAGCUUUAGUUUGGUUAAAUUCAAUGAAUAUUUAUGACAUUUCUGCCAUAUGCAAUUUAGUGUUCUGGUGGUUGGAGGAAUACAAUGAUGUGCAAGUCUGCAUUUUAGCUUCAAGUUGCUUAUAAACCUAAAAGAGAGAUAUGACUUGAACAUGCCUGACUUGGAUAUAAGAAAGCUUGAGUAGCGCCCUCAGAGAUGUAAAAAUGAAAUGUGUUACAAAUUCAGAGGAGAAAGAAAUCAUAUGCAUUUCCUUGUGGUAAUAUGGGGGUGAAGGACUUGGGGAUCAGAAAGUGUUUCCUGAGGAAAGCUCUAAAGAAGGAAAGGCUUUGAUAGGCAGAAAGAAUUACAUCCACGCAGGCAAAGAGAUGGGUGGAUAGUGUGGGUGUCAUCAUGGAAGGAAAAGUAGCAUGGCACGUUUGGAACACGGCAUUGAGAAGUGAAGAGGAGGCGUGAAAGAAGAAGAAUUCCAGAAGGUACUGAGAGAACAAGGGAGUAUAAAGGGCCUUGAAUGUGUAAUUAGCACAUCAGUUUGGUAGACCUUGGAGAACCUUUACCCACUUUUGGGCUAAGGGGUGACGUGAUUGGAUUAUAUUUUAGAACUAUACUUCACUUCACCUCACAGAUUAAGAGGUAGAAAUCCCAGGUGUAGACAAGGUGAGGAAGCUAUCAGGAUAGUCUCCACAAGAGGUAAUGAGGUUCUGAACUAGAAUGGUUGUAAUAGGAAAAGAUAAGAGGGCACCCUGGGAGAGACACUGUGAUUAAAUCAUCUAUAGGUUUUUGGCAUGUGAUUGGUUAUGGAGGGGUGGGAAACAGGAAGGAGUUAAAGAUUCCAUUCAACAACUUUAGCCAACUUUUGAAUCCAUCCAACAUUUAUGGAAAACCAGCCACGUGCGAGAUGGUGCUUGGUGCCAGAGGUGUGUACUGAGAGAAAGGAGAAUGGUCCUGUUCCCAAGUAGCUGAAAAUUUAAUUGGGCAUAUAAAAUAUGUACUCAGUUAACUAAAAUCCAAAAUAGAUCAUAUCAGUGCGAUAACAGGAAUAAAGUAAAGGGUUAUGAGAGCACAAAGAAGAAGUAUUAUUUUUGACAGUGGAAAAGUGAGGACGCACAUAGAGGAGUAGAUGCUUCAACUAGGAGUAUUUUGGCUGUCAGAAGUGUGGCAGGAAAACCCAGAGAGACAAGUAUCAAAGAAGCUAAGGGGAGAGGACUCUUACUUGUUGUCUACUGGACACCAGAUUCUGAGCUGGGAGCUGUGUGUAUAAGGAAGGCAUAUUCAACAGCAUGAAGUGCUCCAAAGUCGCCAACAGUGUUUUCUAGGAAGGGGCCAGUGUAUUUGGCAAUUUAAGGAUUACCAGUGGCUUUUGAAGAGGGUUCAGAAGGGUAGGGAUGGAAACAUCCCAAAGCUUAUUACUUAUCUUGAAGAUGUAAUUAAACUACCUCAGUGAGAGAAAAGGCUGCGCUUUCCCAGUGAUUUCUCCUUGAUGGGUCAAGUUUAUAUAAACCUCCGUAGAUUUUAAUGCUCUGGCUGGUCUUAGAGGUAUCACUCGAGAAUGUGUUGGUCCUGAGAAGUCUUUGCAAAGUUAAGAAUAGUUGCAGAAAUGUUAGCUUGCUGGAUUAUUUUCUCACGAGUAAAAGAUUUCAACACUGACAACCAGCCUCCCUCUUGCUCCCUGCUUCCUCCUUCCUCCCUCCUGCUCCUCCCUUUGAGUCCUCAGCCCAGUAGGGUGAGCACACUGCCACACCCUUGGCUCAGGGUCAGGGAAGUCCUCGGGCUCUCCUUGGCUCUUUUCCCAUGUGGAGGGAGAUUUCCACAGAGAACAAUCCAGGGAAGUGCAUGCACAAAUAGAUACACACACACACAUCCCAGUUCUUUUCCUGUCCCCAAGGAUAUACGUGUGCCAAUAAACAGACAAAACACACGGUCAUAUACAGCCAUAUUGUGUCACAUUCGCCCUGAGGAAACAUAGGGCAGAGAUCCAGUAGUCCAGCAGGAGGUGGGGGGGUAUUAUUAGCAGUUUAACAUUUAGGAAGAAUAAUGUAACUUAAAGAAAAAUUUAGAAAUUGCUUUGUUGAGAUGAAUAGCAUGUUACUAUAGAAUGUUAAAGGGUGAAUUUGUAUCAUGGUUAUAUUUAGUUGAUUUUUGUUGUGUCUUUUUUUAAUCAAUUAUCACAGCAUGCUGGGCAUAAUAAAAGAACUUUCACAGAGGCACCCACCCGUAUUAUCACAAAGGGGAAUUUUAAAUUAUAUCAGACCUCCCUGUAAUUUAAAAGGAAUAAAGGGAGAGAAAUGAAAAGGAGUAGUAGAAUGGAGGAAGAAGCAAUUGCUCCUUAACCCCACAAAUGCACACUAGCUCAUGGCAGGGCAAGUGUGAGUGUGUUUACAGUCAUUCAUUUGUUCCCUGAUUCAUUCACUCACUUGAUCACUCAAUGAAUAAACAUUUACUGAGUUCCAAUUGUAUUCCAGGCUGAGGCUGGGAAAUAUAGCUGAGCAGAGAAAAGACAUGCAAAAUUUUAAAUCAAAUACAUCCUUCUUAUAGGAAACUAGCCACUGUCAGGAAGUUUCCCUGUUUUAUAGGUGGACAGCUUGAUGAAAGUGCGCUUUUGAGGUGAGUAUUAUAUACUACUGUUUUGCCCCUCAAAGCUAUCUCCUGCCAUUGUGAACCCUAAAAUGUGUUCAACUUGCUGGAAUACAGUAACCCUGGUAGUGGAACUCCUCAGGUUUCUGAACAAAUUUCCUUGCGUUCUCCUCACACUUAACUUACUGCCGUAUUGGGAUUCCUUUUCCUUAAGAAUUUCCCCCUGUCUUAUCAGAAACCUUGGGAUAGAUAGGGUCUGUCUGUUUAUUUGUGUGUACAUGUAAAUAUUCGAAAUAUCCUCAGGGAAUUCCCCCAAUAUAGGGACAUCUUCUACCUUUGGAAGCACUGUCAAGAUCUUUUCAACCAGCCGUCAAGCUCAGAGUGGAGGGGUAUUGAGACUGACUUCAGCUAGUCUCCUAGGGAACAGUAAAUCUCAGAGGGUAGCAGUGUAUCCCUUGCCAGAUGGGAAGACUAAGGCACAGAAAGGUUAGGUAAGUUGCCUGAAGUUAUUUAUAUGUUUACUAAAAGUGUCAGAGAUGGGAUUCGAAAGAGUAAUUCUGGGUCCAGAGCCCAUGAUCUGGGCCACUGUUCUCAUGCCCGGUUAUUACAUCAGUGCCUUGCAGCACAGUUGUCCAAUCUCUGUUUUUCUUUGGUUUGGGGUUGGACUAGGAAUCUCCAUAUCUGGGGUGAGGGGAGCCUUUGGAUUAUUUCAAUGCAGUCCUAGGAGGUACUCUUCACACAGUCUCUCAGAGCUGUCUCUGAAAGGUACUGUGUCAUUUGGUUCAAAGUCUAUUCGUCUUUAAUCCCUUGCUGGUACGUAGGCAAUAUGGAGAAGGAAAAACAUGUUCAUACCCAAAGAGUUUAGUAGUGCUGCAAAAUGCUAGAAUUGGAUUGACUUCGUCUCAAUUUCAAGGACGUUGACAGUGCUUUGAUCUCUGCUUUUGAAGCCCUCUCGUCAGCAACAUUGGCAAGUGCACCUUUGAAAAUUUGUAUGUGAAUUCUUGUGUUUGAAAAAAAAAUGUUUGUUAGUGUUUCUCUUCUUGAACACUAGUUGAUGUUUUGCCAACUAGUUAAACGUCUGCAAAUCUGCGUAUUGGCUGAGAAGCUAAGCUUGCUGUGACCAGUUAUCCCAGAUGGCCGUACUGCAUUGGGUACCACUGUUAUAGAUGCUCACUGGUUGCAGACUUGGGGUUGUGAGGUGUACUGUUCCACUUGUUUUUGCCAGCCAUGCACGGUGCAUUAUUUGAGACAGAUGGUAUAGCUCAAACUAAAUUGAUGAGGGAGAGAAGAAAGUGGAAAAAAUAGAAAAAAGGUGCUUGCUUUUCUAAUUCACAUUUCGGAAGUGAAUUUUAGCUUCUGUGAUUGACUAAUAAAUGCAGUGUUGCCAUAAGACUUGAAUUCAUUCACGUCUGUUUAAACAGAUAGAACUACGUCAUCGGCAGGAAGCAAUCAUUUCCUUCAUGGAUGCUGUCCCAAACUUCAUAGGGUGUCCUCCAGAUUUGAAAAUGUUGGGACAUCGGAGGAUGUCAAAAAUAGAUCUGAGUUUUUCAGAAUAAGAUAUGCCACCAGCCAAUACCAAUGAAAACAGAAAAAUCCAAAAUUUUAUUUUUAAACUGAAAAAACAGUGUAUCAAAAGAGCCUAGUGAAGUUGUGGUGAUAAGGACAAUUAAUCAAUUUUCAUGCAGCUGCUUCCUGACAUUUCUGCAAAUUGUUGUGGAAAAAUUAAUGAAGGUUAGAUCAGUAAUGGUUUCAAGCUUGGCCAGUGGAAAGUAUGACAGUGUUUCCAUCAGCAAUUAAGCCGGGCUGCUUGCUUUCUUCUAUAGGGGAAGUGGUAUAUGAUGUGUGUUCUCCACAGGAAAUGGAAAACGACAGCUGGGCUGGGUGAGCACAGGUACAGGGGAGCACCCUGGGAGUGCUCUAGCAGGCUCGCCUUGAUUUGCACUACUUAUUUGCAUUUUCUGCAGAAAGGUUUUUGCUGUACAAACCUGAGAAAUCCUUCCUUAAAAAGAGAGUGAGAAUUUUGGCAUUUUACUGAGCUACCAUUUCAGAAACACAGACAGUCUAUGAAUCUAAACUUUGGGAACCAGAAAGUGGAACUUAUGACAAACAGAAAGUGAAACUCACCUAUCUAAUUUUAUUUUUCAAGCCGAAGGUAGUUCAGUACAGGCCGAGUUCACAUCCUGUGUAACCCUAUGGGAUUUUCCCCAGUAUUAGUUAAAAAUUUUCCCAUAGGGUCACACAGGAUGUGAAUUAAGUAAACACUUCACAAGCAUGAUGAAAAGGAAAUUAGCUUUCUCAGUGAUCCUUUCACUCUUAACAUCCUGAGUAGUUAUUAGAAACAUGGGAAAGGGUCACUUCAAUGUCUCAUUAUCAAGUCGUUCCAUUAUUAAUAGAGUUUAUUCAUAUUCUUCUUGUUACAUAUGAAAUGUAUUUCCUUAUAUAUGAAGCUAAAUUUUACAUAUAUAUUUUCCUUUUUGGAAGACAUUAAAGAGCCAGUAGUUCUUAGCCUUGGGGAGGAGGAGUUCAUAGACCUCUUCAGGACUCCUGACCCUUUCCCCGAGAAAAAUGCUUAGAUACACAACAUUUUGCAUACCAUUUUUAAAGUUUCACAAAUCUCUUAAGUGACCUUGGAUCCAAGGCAUUUUUCAUAGGACUGAGUUUUUAAAGCUUUUUAUAGAUAGAAAAUUGUAGCUACAACCAUUAAAUGUUAAUUCUUUAUGAGUAAAGAUUUCAUAGGAGGCACUUCUUAAGAAACUUUAACUGUAACUACAGUAAUUCUUUCCCCUUUCCACCUGAAAAAUGCUUCCUUGUCCUUAGAUGGGAGCUUGUACAUUGGACAGGACAUAUAAAUCUGGGUUUGAAGCUGGCCGUGUGACAUUUUAGCAAGUGACUUUGGUUGUCCUGCGUCAGUUUCACCAUCUCUAAAAUGAUGGUAACGAGGAGACAAUAUGUCAGUUGUGUCUGGCAAAUGGUCCAUGCUCAAUAUACAUGCCUUCCCUUCUCUUCUUUGUUUCCUCCUUUGAGAUCUAGUCUAAACAUCACUUUUUUGCCCAUCGUUUUGCACUCCUGAAGGCAAUUUUUUUUCACUUUCCCCUCAAUGUUCCUCUAUUGCUUUGUAAAUUUCUUUACUCUUAAAAUUGUGUUAUCAUUUGGUGCUUACGUCUAAAGUUGUGAGUUUUGAGGAUCUCAUAUCUUAUUAAUAAUGUUUUAUUGAUCUCUCUGUGUGCUGUGUUGCAAAGUGCCUAAGACCCGUGGGUACUUCCUGUUUACUAAAUUAGUGGUAAUAGUCUAAUGCUUAUUGGAAAUGAAAUGAUUUAGGUUUGAGCUUGUAAUUGUCACUAGAGUGUGUUUAUGUGACUACUAGUCAUCUCAGAAGGGAAGUCAAAUGAUCAGUGUACAGCCAAAGUGAAAUUUAGUGGGAGAACAGCCUCGAACUGAAAGUGUGUCUUUUCCAGCUUUGGCUACAACCGGAAUGUGUUCUAAACCAGAGCCAAAGUAUUUUGGCUAGAGUUUUCAGCCAGCUCAAUUACAAAGUGAUUAAAGAAAAAAGAAGUGGAUUAUUACAUUUCUAAAAUGUGUAAACCUGUACAUUAUAAACCUGAGGCUCCAAAGAAAAUGUGAGCCCCCAAAGACUUAUUUUGUUUUUUAGAAUCUGGGGUCGAGUGAUAGCUUGAAGGACAUACUGCUCUGCCUUUCAAUUGUUUAAGUCCUCACAAGCUGUUGCUAAAGCUGCUCGACUGGAGUCGAACAACGGUGUGGCCUGUCUUCGAAGAGCUGCCAUUUUUUAACUUCUGUUUCUCCCUUCUCCCCUUCAUAUGUAUAUGUACCUUGUAGCUGUUACAGAUGUUUUUAUAAGCAACUUAAAUAAAAAAUUAAUAUCAAACCAGGUUGUCUUAGCACUUGAACAACUCAGUGACAGUAAACUCUCUUCUUUCUGUACAUGGUUAAUGGUUUCCAAGCAGAAAGUUAUGAUUUAGAGCCUUGCCCAUAAAGAGUGACGUUGAGGGAGCUGGCCCGGUGGCGCAGUGGUUGAGUUUGUGCGCUCCGCUUCAGCAGCCUGGUGUUCAUGGGUUUGGAUUCCUGGUGCGAACCUACGCACUGCUUAUCAAGCUAUGCUGUGGCAGGCGUCUCACAUAUAAAGUAGAGGAAGAUGGGCACAGAUGAUAACUCAGGCUCAAUCUUCCUCAGCAAAAAAAGAGGAGGAUUGGCAGUGGAUGUUGGCUCAGGGCUGAUCUUCCUCAAAAAAAAAAAAAAAAAAAGAGUGACACUGAGCUAGGGGAGGCUUGGAAGAGAGAAAUGUAUAGUUGGCUGCAGGAAGUCUUCGAGCAAAUUAGAGUGGGAAAAACAGCUGUCAAUUUGAGUGGAGAAAGUGAAGAGCGUGGAGAGGAGAGAAAGGAAAAUAUGGGAGGUAGAGCAUGGUAUCUGGUGGUCUGGGGAAGGUUGUUGACACGUAGAGAAGGUUUUAGUCCUAAUAUGCAGAGUACAAGGAAACCUUGAGUGGAACACUGGAUGAGGUGACUUGCAAACCAGACCCAUAGAAGGGCCUGCAGAAGUAGAACUGAGGGUCCGUAGAGGUGCUGACAGUGUUGGAUGAUAAGGAUGGUUGUCAUAGUUGAAACAGAGUGUGAACAGAAGCUUGUGCCUGUUAGAUAUGGAUAAAGAGAUGAAUUUAGGAGAUAUGGGAAAGGAAAAAAAAAAGCCAUGUUGGCAAUGGGUUGAAUUGGGGACAAAGAACAGUAGGGUUGAAGAUUUUGCUCAAUAAGUUGUUGGCCGUGAAUUCUUGGCUCUCAUGACAUGCCCAACCAUUCCUUUACUCAGGCAUUUCCACCUCCUGGAAAGCCUUGUCUCUGCCUGUCAGAAUUUUCAAGCCCUUAUUUAACUUCCACCAGCUGCAUAAAUAUUUCUUUCACAACACUGGCUCAUAGCAAUCUCUCCUUUACUGAGCUCAUAUAGUACUAUUAUAAAUGUGGUGGCACUUAAUUGAUGUUUAAAGCUAUAAUUUAAAUUUUCACCUGCCUGUCUUGUCUCUUCAAUGAGCCUCCAAAUUUGUGCAGAAUUGGAUACUGUAAAAAAAAAAAGAAAAUUCUCUAUUCUCUAAUUCAAAGACAUGCCCGUAGCAAGAAU
This 16226-nucleotide long non-coding RNA is filed under the name Equus asinus (donkey). Its description in RNAcentral is "lncRNA (ENSEASG00005031392.1)". The record is from RNAcentral. Lineage: Eukaryota; Metazoa; Chordata; Mammalia; Perissodactyla; Equidae.